Molecule: non-coding RNA, 501 nt
Organism: Chiloscyllium plagiosum (whitespotted bambooshark)
Lineage: Eukaryota; Metazoa; Chordata; Chondrichthyes; Orectolobiformes; Hemiscylliidae
Source: RefSeq, a predicted model, not a curated record
GGUCCGCACUGAGCUCUCUCUCUCUCUCUCUCUUUCUCUCUCUCUCAGAGACAGGGACAAUACAGAGCUCCCUGUAACACUCCCCAGGGUCCGCACUGAGCUCUCUCUCCCUCUCUCUCCGAGACAGGUACAAUACAGAGCUCCCUGUAACACUCCCCACAGUCUGCACUGAGCUCUCUCUCCCUCUCUCUCUGAGACAGGUACAAUACAGAGCUCCCUGUAACACUCCCCACAGUCUGUACUGAGCUCUCUCUCCCUCUCUCUCUCUCUCUCUCUGAGACAGGUACAAUACAGAGCUCCCUGUAACACUCCCCAGGGUCCGCACUGAGCUCUCUCUCCCUCUCUCUCAGAGACAGGUACAAUACAGAGCUCCCUGUAACACUCCCAGGGUCUGCACUGAGCUCUCUCCCCCUCUCUCUCUCUCUCUCUCUCUCAGAGACAGGUACAAUCAGAGCUCCCUGUAACUCUCCCCACGGUCCGCACUGAGCUCUCUCUCCCUCU